AGAGUUUGAUCCUGGCUCAGAUUGAACGCUGGCGGCAGGCCUAACACAUGCAAGUCGAGCGGUAGCACAGAGAGCUUGCUCUCGGGUGACGAGCGGCGGACGGGUGAGUAAUGUCUGGGAAACUGCCUGAUGGAGGGGGAUAACUACUGGAAACGGUAGCUAAUACCGCAUAACGUCGCAAGACCAAAGUGGGGGACCUUCGGGCCUCAUGCCAUCAGAUGUGCCCAGAUGGGAUUAGCUAGUAGGUGGGGUAACGGCUCACCUAGGCGACGAUCCCUAGCUGGUCUGAGAGGAUGACCAGCCACACUGGAACUGAGACACGGUCCAGACUCCUACGGGAGGCAGCAGUGGGGAAUAUUGCACAAUGGGCGCAAGCCUGAUGCAGCCAUGCCGCGUGUGUGAAGAAGGCCUUCGGGUUGUAAAGCACUUUCAGCGGGGAGGAAGGCGUUAAGGUUAAUAACCUUGGCGAUUGACGUUACCCGCAGAAGAAGCACCGGCUAACUCCGUGCCAGCAGCCGCGGUAAUACGGAGGGUGCAAGCGUUAAUCGGAAUUACUGGGCGUAAAGCGCACGCAGGCGGUCUGUCAAGUCGGAUGUGAAAUCCCCGGGCUCAACCUGGGAACUGCAUUCGAAACUGGCAGGCUAGAGUCUUGUAGAGGGGGGUAGAAUUCCAGGUGUAGCGGUGAAAUGCGUAGAGAUCUGGAGGAAUACCGGUGGCGAAGGCGGCCCCCUGGACAAAGACUGACGCUCAGGUGCGAAAGCGUGGGGAGCAAACAGGAUUAGAUACCCUGGUAGUCCACGCCGUAAACGAUGUCGAUUUUGGAGGUUGUGCCCUUGAGGCGUGGCUUCCGGAGCUAACGCGUUAAAUCGACCGCCUGGGGAGUACGGCCGCAAGGUUAAAACUCAAAUGAAUUGACGGGGGCCCGCCCAAGCGGUGGAACAUGUGGGUUUAAUUCGAUGCAACGCGAAAAACCUUACCUGGGCUUUGAAUCCCACAGAAUUUUCCCAAAAAUGGGUUUGGUGCCUUUCCGGAAAUUGUGAGACAAGGUGUUGCAAAGGGUUGCCUCAACCUCCUGUUUUGGAAAAAGUUGGUGUUAAUUCCCCCGACCAAGCGCACCCCUUAUUCCUUUUUGUGCCCCCGGGUAAGGCCGGGAACCUCAAAGGAGACUGCCAGUGAUAAACUGGAGGAAGGUGGGGAUGACGUCAAGUCAUCAUGGCCCUUACGACCAGGGCUACACACGUGCUACAAUGGCAUAUACAAAGAGAAGCGACCUCGCGAGAGCAAGCGGACCUCAUAAAGUAUGUCGUAGUCCGGAUUGGAGUCUGCAACUCGACUCCAUGAAGUCGGAAUCGCUAGUAAUCGUAGAUCAGAAUGCUACGGUGAAUACGUUCCCGGGCCUUGCACACACCGCCCGUC
RNAcentral lists this ribosomal RNA (1416 nucleotides) under uncultured bacterium. RNAcentral's name for it is "bacterial SSU rRNA". It matches the Rfam family "Bacterial small subunit ribosomal RNA". The record is from RNAcentral.